GGGCGAUUAGCUCAGCGGUAGAGCGCUUCCCUUACAAGGAAGAAGUCGCUGGUUCGAACCCAGCAUCGCCCA
This 72-nucleotide transfer RNA is filed under the name Rubrobacter sp. RNAcentral's name for it is "tRNA-Val". It matches the Rfam family "tRNA". From Rfam's summary of the family: Transfer RNA (tRNA) molecules are approximately 80 nucleotides in length. Lineage: Bacteria; Bacillati; Actinomycetota; Rubrobacteria; Rubrobacterales; Rubrobacteraceae. The record is from RNAcentral.